Long non-coding RNA from Marmota monax (woodchuck), 4513 nucleotides. RefSeq lists it as uncharacterized. The transcript is spliced from 4 exons. The record is from RefSeq and is a predicted model, not a curated record. NCBI's taxonomy places the organism in Eukaryota, Metazoa, Chordata, Mammalia, Rodentia, Sciuridae.
AAUUUUUAAGCAGGUAGCUGCUUUUUUGUUAGUUAAUAUUUAAUCUGAUGCUUCAAAGGUCAUUGAAAACCAGUUAAAAUGUUACCCAACAAAUGCUCUGGUUACUUCUAAUGAUGUUAAAAUGUAAAUUCCUAGCCUUCCUGUGGAAGAGGGUUCCUUUGAAAGCAGUGGACUUCCGGUCCAGGGUAUUGGACUAGCCUAGCAUUGUUUCAGACAGGGUAUCCUGUAGCCUUGGGACUCUGGGUGCUCAGAGGUGGCUUACUCCUCAGCAGGAGGGGGUUUCAUACGCAAUCCAGCUAUUUCUGUAAGAGAAUCCUUGCAUCUCCAUGUACAGAAUGUUGCUAGACUUAUGAACAUCACGGUGCUUCUGGUGAAGUCUCAGAUGGGAGGAAGAACAUGUUAUUGGACACUAAAGGAGAGGUGACAUUGUUAUAAAGUAGCAGAGAACUGGAGUGACUUGGGUUGUGUCAUUGGAAAGAAAGUAAGCUUGUAACUGACAAUGAACUUGGGUAUGUGGAGAUUUCCAAGUAUGAUGUGGAAGGUGCAGCCUGAUUUCUCCUUGCUGUUUAUAGUAAAAUGUGAGAAGAGAGAAAGAAAUUGAAGCAGGCACCGCUACACAGAAAGGAGUUGGCACCUGGCAACUUGGAGAGUUCUUAGCCUCUCUAGACAGUGCACUACAGACAUAGCCAAGAGUGUGGCUUGACAACUGUUUGCUAAAUAAAUGAGGUGUGUGACUCAUGGAUCUACUCAGAGGUCUCAGCUGAAGCUAGGAAGUGAGAGGCAGUUGUUCAGGAAAGAUCUGUGGACGAUCCUCUGGUCUGGUGUCUUGGAUCCCUUUGAUUGCAAGGGAGGCUGACAAGGUUUUUGAGUUCUAUAGCAGAAACAUUUCCAGUCUGGACUGAAAGGCACAGAACAAAAUUAAUGAAGAAUAACUUAAAGGCCAGAGCCUUGGGUGCAGAGGCUUGGGUCAACAGGACCUCCUCAUGUAGGCCCACUGCCCCAGUGGCCCAACUGGGUGGGACUGCUGCCCCUUGGGCCCAGAGAAAGAAGCAUCAGAGCUUAGAGCACUGUUCUCAAGCCUUAGAAUCUAAUGGGAUUUUCCCUCCUAGGUUUUGGAUUUGGCUGGAAUUCAUGACCUCUUUUCUCUUCCCAGAUUCUCCUUUUUGGAAGGAAAAUAUCUAUCCUAUGCCUAGAUAUUGUAUUUGGUAAGCACAUAACUGUUUCUGAUUCCAGAAGUCCAUAUUUGGAGAGAAAUUUUGGCCCAGAAUGAAUCAUGCUCCAAGCCUUAUCCAUAACUGCUUUGGAUGAUGAAAUUUGGGACUUUGAGGUGAUGAUAUUUAGAUGGCAUUUUGGACUUGUAUUCGAUGGGAGGAUAGUUAAGAGUUUUGAGGGUGUGGGGAUGGGAUGCAUGUACUUUGCACAUUGGGAGGACAUGAUUUUGGAGGGCUAGAGUUGACUGUGUCCCCCAGAAAGAUAUGUUUAAGUCCUAACCCCCAGUAAGUCAGAUGUCACCUUCCUGAAAACAGAGGCCUUGCAGAUGUCAUUAGUUAAGAUGAAGUCGUGCUGGAGUAGGGUGGGUCCUAAUCAAUAGCUAGUGUCCCUAUAAGAAAUGAAGAAGAGACACUGACACGUACAAAGCGAGAAGACAGCCAGGGGCAGAGAAUAGAGUGGCGUGAUACACCUACGGGACGGGAACGCUGAGGACUGAGGCCAACACUGAAGCCGGAGAUUCAAGGAAGAAUCCACCUUCAGGUUUCAGAGGGCACAUGGCCCUGUCUACGUCUUGCUUAGGACUUUCAGUCAUUAGAUUUAUGACACAAUAGAUUUUUGUUGUUUUAAUAUGCAUAGUUUGUGGUACUUAAUCACAGCAACUGUAGGCACUAAUACAGAUUCCAGUGAACCUGAUUUGAAUUUGUAUCAUUUGCACAAAAUGUGUGAUCAAUUAAUUGCCCAAGAAACACAAUAGGGCUGGGGAGGCAACUCAGUGAUAGAGGGCUUGCCUCCAUCUUCAGCACUGCAAAAACAUUAUUUUUCACUUAAAUCUGCUUUGUCCUGGUUUUCUCUUUCUAUAUUUCCAUUGUUGUAAAAAAGAGAUGGGACAGAUGAAAUUUUAUUUACAUGUGAGGUGAAAUCUUCCAGUUUAUUUUUGUAGCUGCCCAUAAAUAUCUUUAGCCAGGUAAUGGGCAUGAGCCAAUUCCCCACGUAAGCAUUUGAAAACUGAGAUGUCCUCCUAAGAGACUGCAAUGUAAGUUUUAAAAACUGAACGUUAUAGGAAAUGGAUAGAGUGGAUAAGGGGGUGUGUAACCCUUGCAGGUGCCCCAUCUUUUUAAGAAAAUUAUAAUUUUCAAAUAAAUGUUGUUAAUCUCUUUAUAGCUUAGUCGUUACUGUAUUUGUAAAUUUAGUUAAUAUUGAUUUCUCGAGGACACCCGUGUUUAUGGCUUUGGCUUCCCUUUAAAGUUUUCAGGUUGGGGAACAGUGCAUCAUGGUGGCAAUGAAGGUGUCUCUGGCGUGGGUGGUUGAUGCUGCUGGGGCGUAUGCGGCAGAUCCUCGCUGUCGGCCAACAGAGUCUCAUCACCCGUGGUGCUCAGGCAGCCUUUGAGGAAGGAGGAAGGAUGCAGGGAGGGAAGGAGGCUGUUUUUUGGGUAGUUGUGACAGAUUUGCUCUGACUCAUUUUAUCCAGUCUCCUUGGUCAUGAGCAGAACAGUGGCAUGGCUUGGCCAGAACCAAGAUUCGGGCUGGAGGGAACAUCCUGUCUCCAGUGUUAAAUGCAGGCUGCCUGAACAGGGUGUCUGCCUCUACUUCUCAAUGCAAAACCUGUUGUUUGCAACUGGCGUUAUCAGCAUAGAAAUUUUCUUUUAAGGAACGAUGAGGCCUGGAGAUGUGGCUCAGUGGUAGAGGCUGUGGGAAUCCCACAGUCCCCUUCAAAAGUGGCCCCCAGUGAUCUGGAGACCUCCCACUAGGCCACACCUCUUACAGGUUUUUCCGGAGUGGCAGUCUCAGCUCCUGGGGGAAGAGGCUACAUUCCACAGCUUGCUGCUCCAGAGAGUCACAUUGGUAUGAAAAUGGGUUUUGUUCCAAGUCAGAUCUGAUGGAAGUUAGAAUAAACUUUUUGUUUGAAAAGUUCCAUCUUUGAAGGCUCUGAGCUUGAGGAAAGUUUUUAAAAGAGAAAAGGAGGCAAGAUGGGACACAGAGCAGGAAAUACGCAUACUCAGCCUAGUUAGCUGGGCUGGACAGGCCGGGCAGCUGGCCAUCUCCAUUCUCAGCCUUCUUGGUGUCCCCCAGGCCAGCAGGUGAGGUGCAGCUCCUCAGCCUGGGGAUGAUGCUGUCAAUCUCAGAGGGGCCUCUAAUGCCAUUCUGCUUCAGUUUCACCACCUUCCAGGAGUGCCCUGGGCUGAGAACCAAGCCUUCAACACAUGGGCCUGAGGGAGACAUUCCAGAUUCAAUCUAAAGCACCAGGUUUCUUCUAGAGCCUUCUUUUGUUAUUCGUGGCAGUGUUACAAAGAAAUUGGCAGUGGGUAUUGUUGGAAAGGACGAAACUCAUACUGAGACUGAAAACACAGCUCAGAUUGAAACCUGCUGAACACCUGUCAAGUAGAGAAAUUGUAUUUGUGAACUUUGGAGCUUCCGACAGGCUCUGCCAAGCCUGUUCUCCCCCCUCCCCCCCUUAACUGAAAGCAAAAUGGCGCAGAAGUUAUUACCACUGCCACUGGGUGAGGAGCUCAUCCGCGAAUUUGCUCCUCAUCUGGAGGGCUUGUUUCCACACUGACGGGGGGCCCCAUCCUCAGUCACUUACCCCAUGGGACUUGGGACCAAGCAUCUUCACUUCUAACCAGUUCCCAGGUGAUGCUGCAGCCGUGGGGUCCUCACUUUGGGAGCCACCUUUAGAAAUUAGCAGUUUGGGCCACUGCUUAGGCUUGAAGGUUCUGCAGUCCCUUCAGCAUGGCUUCCCUUGAAGAUGACAGCAGAGGGCAGUGUUACAGCAUACGGGGAUGGGCUGCAGCCUGACCUCCCGCUCCGCUCCAUUCAGCCAGGGUUGUCCAGCUGGGCCAGCGGACACUUGCUUGGAUCCGUGGACUGGUUGUGUCUGUUUUGUUAAGGCAUGUUCCACGUAGGAAACCAAAGGAAUCAAAGAUUGGCUGCAGGAAGUGACAGCACCUGUCUCCUGACUGCAGCCCACGAAGCACCUGCUGAUCUGAAACCUUACAGACCCACUUGUGACCAGCAAAUGUUGUCCAGGGUUUCUUCUGGGAAGGCAGUAGAGGAAGAGGACCCUGGAGGAGGUGGUGUAAUGGUAACUUGAACUGCCAACUGAUAACAAAGCAGGGACCUUUCAAAGAGGUUUUGAAGUUUGCCAACCUACCAUAAGGCUCAUCUUCCCCUCCCUGCUCAGUGCCACCAGAUUUUAUCUUCUGCCUUUGAAUCACAAGACCUUUUCCUCCCCUGCUGACCAUGAAGUCAUGAGAGCAGGAGUGGAGGGAGGUGUGUGUGUGUGUGUGUGUGUGUGUGUGUGUGU